GUGCCAGCCGCCGCGGUAAUACGUAGGGUGCGAGCGUUAAUCGGAAUUACUGGGCGUAAAGCGUGCGCAGGCGGCUUUGCAAGACAGAGGUGAAAUCCCCGGGCUCAACCUGGGAACUGCCUUUGUGACUGCAAGGCUAGAGUACGGCAGAGGGGGAUGGAAUUCCGCGUGUAGCAGUGAAAUGCGUAGAUAUGCGGAGGAACACCGAUGGCGAAGGCAAUCCCCUGGGCCUGUACUGACGCUCAUGCACGAAAGCGUGGGGAGCAAACAGGAUUAGAU
Molecule: ribosomal RNA, 279 nt
Filed under: uncultured Burkholderiales bacterium
Lineage: Bacteria; Pseudomonadati; Pseudomonadota; Betaproteobacteria; Burkholderiales
Description: partial 16S ribosomal RNA
Rfam family: Bacterial small subunit ribosomal RNA
Source: RNAcentral